UUUCCGUAGGUGAACCUGCGGAAGGAUCAUUAAUAAUUAGUGUUCUCUGGAGCUUCUUAUAAAAUCCAUAUGCACCUUGGGUGGAAGGUUAUGAGACCAGUUAUUGUAACCGUUUAGGAUAGGGAAGGGGGAACCUUUACAAAAAACCAACACCAACUUAAAAUUUAUUGUCUGAAUAUUUGCAAUCACGAUUUUUGUUAUUUCAAAAAUACAACUUUCAACAAGGCAUCUCUUGGCUCUUGUAUCCUCGAAGAACGCAGCAGAUCGGAAGAGCACAUU
Molecule: unclassified non-coding RNA, 279 nt
Filed under: plant metagenome
Description: partial contains small subunit ribosomal RNA, internal transcribed spacer 1, and 5.8S ribosomal RNA
Source: RNAcentral